Molecule: ribosomal RNA, 253 nt
Filed under: uncultured bacterium
Lineage: Bacteria
Description: partial 16S ribosomal RNA
Rfam family: Bacterial small subunit ribosomal RNA
Source: RNAcentral
UACGUAGGGUGCGAGCGUUGUCCGGAAUUAUUGGGCGUAAAGAGCUCGUAGGCGGUCUGUCGCGUCGGCUGUGAAAACUCGGGGCUCAACUCCGAGCUUGCAGUCGAUACGGGCAGGCUAGAGUUCGGCAGGGGAGACUGGAAUUCCUGGUGUAGCGGUGAAAUGCGCAGAUAUCAGGAGGAACACCGGUGGCGAAGGCGGGUCUCUGGGCCGAUACUGACGCUGAGGAGCGAAAGCGUGGGGAGCAAACAGG